This 65-nucleotide transfer RNA is filed under the name Dipodomys ordii (Ord's kangaroo rat). It matches the Rfam family "tRNA". From Rfam's summary of the family: Transfer RNA (tRNA) molecules are approximately 80 nucleotides in length. Their secondary structure includes four short double-helical elements and three loops (D, anti-codon, and T loops). Lineage: Eukaryota; Metazoa; Chordata; Mammalia; Rodentia; Heteromyidae. The record is from Rfam by way of RNAcentral.
GGUGGCUCAGUGGUAAAGUGCUUGCCUUGAACGCAUGAGGCCCUGGGUUCGAUUCCUGAGCACCA